This 253-nucleotide ribosomal RNA is filed under the name uncultured bacterium. RNAcentral describes it as "partial 16S ribosomal RNA". It matches the Rfam family "Bacterial small subunit ribosomal RNA", at positions 524 to 776 of the family's 1533-position model. The record is from RNAcentral.
GACGAACCGUGCGAACGUUGUUCGGAAUUACUGGGCGUAAAGGGCGCGUAGGCGGCCUGUUAAGUCGAACGUGAAAUCCCUGGGCUCAACCCAGGAACUGCGUCCGAUACUGGUUGGCUUGAAUCCGGGAGAGGGACGUGGAAUUCCAGGUGUAGCGGUGAAAUGCGCAGAUAUCAGGAGGAACACCGGUGGCGAAGGCGGGUCUCUGGGCCGAUACUGACGCUGAGGAGCGAAAGCGUGGGGAGCGAACAGG